AGCUAUCUCAAAAAAAGCAAGAAGAAAAAGCAUGCCAGCUGUAUAUUUCCCCCCAACUAAGCCAGCUGAAGUAUCACCUGUCCAAGAAAUAAUCACUAAUCA
Molecule: long non-coding RNA, 102 nt
Organism: Xenia sp. Carnegie-2017
Lineage: Eukaryota; Metazoa; Cnidaria; Anthozoa; Malacalcyonacea; Xeniidae
Exons: 2
Source: RefSeq, a predicted model, not a curated record